This 447-nucleotide ribosomal RNA is filed under the name uncultured bacterium. RNAcentral's name for it is "partial 16S ribosomal RNA". It matches the Rfam family "Bacterial small subunit ribosomal RNA", at positions 29 to 523 of the family's 1533-position model. The record is from RNAcentral.
AGCGAACGCUGGCGGCAGGCCUAAUACAUGCAAGUCGAACGCACCUUCGGGUGAGUGGCGGACGGGCGAGUAACGCGUGGGAACGUGCCCUUUGGUACGGAACAACUGAGGGAAACUUCAGCUAAUACCGUAUGUGCCCUUCGGGGGAAAGAUUUAUCGCCAUUGGAGCGGCCCGCGUUGGAUUAGCUAGUUGGUGGGGUAAAGGCCCACCAAGGCUACGAUCCAUAGCUGGUCUGAGAGGAUGAUCAGCCACACUGGGACCGAGACACGGCCCAGACUCCUACGGGAGGCAGCAGUAGGGAAUCUUGCGCAAUGGGCGAAAGCCUGACGCAGCCAUGCCGCGUGAAUGAUGAAGGUCUUAGGAUUGUAAAAUUCUUUCACCGGGGACGAUAAUGACGGUACCCGGAGAAGAAGCCCCGGCUAACUUCGUGCCAGCCGCCGCCGUAA